This 460-nucleotide ribosomal RNA is filed under the name uncultured bacterium. RNAcentral describes it as "partial 16S ribosomal RNA". It matches the Rfam family "Bacterial small subunit ribosomal RNA", at positions 28 to 507 of the family's 1533-position model. The record is from RNAcentral.
GACGAACGCUGGCGGCGUGCUUAACACAUGCAAGUCGAGCGGUAAGGCCUCUUCGGGGCUACACGAGCGGCGACCGGGGGAGUAACACUUAGAUGACCUGCCCUUACCUCUGAGAUAAGCAUAGCUACCUGGGUCUAAUACCGGUACCGACCUUUCCUCUCAUCCGGAUUGGUGGAAAGUGAUUUCGGAUGGGGAUGGUCCUGCGGCCUGUAAGCUUGUUGGUUGGGUGAUGGCCUACGAAGACGGCGACGGGUAGCCGGCGUGAGAGGGCGACCGGCCAAACUGGGAGGGAGGCACCGCUCAGGAUCCUACGGGAGGCAGCAGUGGGGAAGAUUGCGCAAGGGGCGGAAGCCAGACGGAGCGACGCCGCGUGGGGGAUGACGGCCUUCGGGUUGUAAACCUCUUUCGACCCGGACGAAUUUGGACGGUAGGGGUAGAAGAAGCACCGGCUAACUACGUG